This 65-nucleotide transfer RNA is filed under the name Ergatettix serrifemora. RNAcentral's name for it is "tRNA-His". Lineage: Eukaryota; Metazoa; Arthropoda; Insecta; Orthoptera; Tetrigidae. The record is from RNAcentral.
GCUUAAAUAGUUUAAUUAAAAUUUUAAUUUGUGGAUUUAAUGAUGUGGUUUAUUUACUUUAGGCA